GAGGUAGAGCGACUGAUAAGAUGCGAGGGCUUCACCGCCUAUCAAGUCUUGAUAAACUCCGAAUGCGCAUUAGUUCUAUCACAGGAGUGAGGGCAUGGGUGCUAAGGUCCAUGUCCUAAAGGAGAAGAAUCCGGACCAUCAGCUAAGGUCCCGAAAUAGAUACUAAGUUGAACUAACGAAGUCAGAUUGCUAAGACAGCUAGGAUGUUGGCUUGGAAGCAGCCAUUCAUUUAAAGAGUGCGUAACAGCUCACUAGUCGAGGAGUUUGGCGUGGAUAAUAAUCGGGCAUCAAGUAUCUUACCGAAGCUAUGGGAUCAUUAAUGAUCGGUAGGGGAGCAUUCCACUCCGCGUCGAAGGUGAAGCGUGAGCUUUGCUGGAGCGUGUGGAAAAGCAAAUGUAGGUAUAAGUAACGAUAAAGGGGGUGAGAAACCCCCUCGCCGAAAGACUAAGGUUUCCUGAUCAACGCUAAUCGGAUCAGGGUUAGUCGGGUCCUAAGGCUCAGCCGAACGGUGAGGCCGAUGGCAGAACAGGUUAAUAUUCCUGUACUACCUUAAGGAGUGACGUGGAGACGGAGUCGUGACAACGCCGCGGACUGACGGAAUAGUCCGUUGAAGGGUGUAGAUGUUGAUUGUGGCAGGCAAAUCCACCACGAGAGUCGAACCUGAUAGUAUACCAAUUCCUUCGGGAAACGGUAAUAGUGCGUGUAAGCAUACUCCCGAGAAAAUCCGCUAAACUUAAUCCUUGAGGUACCCGUACCGCAAACGGACACACGUAGUCGGGUUGAAUAUACUAAGGCGCUUGAGUGAUUCACGGUUAAGGAACUAGGCAAAUUGACCCUGUAACUUCGGGAUAAAGGGUCCCAACGAGAGUUGGGCGCAGAGAAUAGGUCCAGGCAACUGUUUAACAAAAACACAGGGCUGUGCCAAAUUGAAAGAUCACGUAUACAGCCUGACACCUGCCCGGUGCUGGAAGGUUAAGAGGAGAUGUCAUCGCAAGAGAAGCAUUGAAUUGAAGCCCCAGUAAACGGCGGCCGUAACUAUAACGGUCCUAAGGUAGCGAAAUUCCUUGUCGGGUAAGUUCCGACCUGCACGAAUGGUGUAAUGAUCUGGACACUGUCUCAACCGUGAGCUCAGUGAAAUUGUAGUAUCGGUGAAGAUGCCGAUUACCCGCGAUGGGACGAAAAGACCCCGUGAACCUUUACUAUAGCUU
RNAcentral lists this ribosomal RNA (1208 nucleotides) under gut metagenome. RNAcentral describes it as "bacterial LSU rRNA". It matches the Rfam family "Bacterial large subunit ribosomal RNA", at positions 899 to 2112 of the family's 2925-position model. The record is from RNAcentral.